ACGUAGUUCUGCCCUAUGAUUAUUUAAAUGGCUGCAGUAUUCUGACUGUGCAAAGGUAGCAUAAUAAUUAGUUUCUUAAUUGGGGACUUGCAUGAAUGAAUUAAUGGGUAUUAGUUUUAUUAAUUAUAUUACUUUAAUUUAAUUUUUAAGUUAAAAAGCUUAAUUUUAUAUUAGGGACGAUAAGACCCUAUAGAACUUUUUAAAUUUAAAAUUAUUUUUUUUUUUUAGUUAAUUAAUUGAUUUUAAUUUUAUUUUUAUUUUGUUGGGGUGACAGAUAAAUUUAAACUUUCUCUUAAAUAUUCAUUAAUUUAUGUUUUUUUGAUCCUUAUAUUAGAUUAAAAGAUUAAGUUACCUUAGGGAUAACAGCGUAAUUCUAAUGGAAAGUUCAUAUUUAUAUUAGAGUUUGCGACCUCGAUGUUGAAUUAAGAUAAGAUUUGGGGGUAGGUUUUCAAAUUCUAAGUCGGUUCGACAUUUAAAUUCUUACAUGAUCUG
RNAcentral lists this ribosomal RNA (492 nucleotides) under Ipoides honiala. Its description in RNAcentral is "partial large subunit ribosomal RNA". The stretch from base 359 to 492 matches the Rfam family "Archaeal large subunit ribosomal RNA", at positions 2542 to 2676 of the family's 2987-position model. The record is from RNAcentral. Lineage: Eukaryota; Metazoa; Arthropoda; Insecta; Hemiptera; Cicadellidae.